GACCGCGUAGCUCAGUUGGCAGAGCAUUGGGCUAGUAUUCCAAAGGGCGUAGGUUCGAUUCCCACCGUGGCCA
This 73-nucleotide transfer RNA is filed under the name Paramuricea clavata. It matches the Rfam family "tRNA". Rfam says of the family: Transfer RNA (tRNA) molecules are approximately 80 nucleotides in length. Their secondary structure includes four short double-helical elements and three loops (D, anti-codon, and T loops). Further hydrogen bonds mediate the characteristic L-shaped molecular structure. tRNAs have two regions of fundamental functional importance: the anti-codon, which is responsible for specific mRNA codon recognition, and the 3' end, to which the tRNAs corresponding amino acid is attached (by aminoacyl-tRNA synthetases). tRNAs cope with the degeneracy of the genetic code in two manners: having more than one tRNA (with a specific anti-codon) for a particular amino acid; and 'wobble' base-pairing, i.e. permitting non-standard base-pairing at the 3rd anti-codon position. Lineage: Eukaryota; Metazoa; Cnidaria; Anthozoa; Malacalcyonacea; Plexauridae. The record is from Rfam by way of RNAcentral.